GCUCCGAAGCGGAGCGGUAGCGGAGGAGUCGGUGCGGCAGGUCCUGGCGGCCGAGAUUUGGGCGCAGAGGCCUGAGAGGCUGGCAGGGAGCGGCGGUAGCACGGGGAGAGCGGCGCCACAGGCUGGGCGCUCCCGGCGUGAGGCGUGCGCUCCAUGCGUGCGGGCCGAGUGCGGCCCCUGCGAGCCUCCGACAUGAAGAAAGACGUGCGGAUCCUGCUGGUGGGAGAACCUAGAGUUGGGAAGACAUCACUGAUUAUGUCUCUGGUCAGUGAAGAAUUUCCGGAAGAGGUUCCUCCCCGAGCAGAGGAAAUCACCAUUCCAGCUGAUGUCACCCCUGAAAGAGUUCCAACACACAUUGUCGAUUAUUCAGCUUCCCUGCUAACUGGCCUUCCUUAUCGUAGAAGCGAGAAACAGAGUGAUGAACAACUUCAUCAAGAAAUAUCACAGGCUAAUGUCAUCUGCAUAGUUUAUGCUGUUAACAACAAACAUUCUAUUGAUAAGGUAACAAGCCGAUGGAUUCCUCUCAUAAAUGAAAGAACAGACAAAGACAGCAGGCUGCCUUUGAUAUUGGUUGGGAACAAAUCUGAUCUGGUGGAAUAUAGUAGUAUGGAGACCAUCCUUCCGAUUAUGAACCAAUAUACAGAAAUAGAAACCUGUGUGGAGUGUUCAGCAAAAAACCUAAAGAAUAUCUCAGAGCUGUUUUAUUAUGCACAGAAAGCUGUUCUUCAUCCUACAGGGCCUCUGUACUGCCCAGAGGAGAAAGAGAUGAAACCAGCUUGUAUAAAAGCCCUCACUCGAUAUAUUUAAAAUAUCUGAUCAAGAUAAUGACGGCACUCUGAAUGAUGCUGAACUCAACUUCUUUUCGAGAAUUUGUUUCAACACCCCUUUAGCUCCGCAAGCGCUGGAAGAUGUCAAGAAUGUGGUUAGAAAGCACUUAAGUGAUGGUGUGGCUGACAGUGGGCUGACGCUCAGAGGUUUUCUCUUUUACUACAUACACUUUUAUCAGAGGGGGAGGCAUGAGACUACUUGGACUGUGCUCCGACGAUUUGGUUAUGAUGAUGACCUGGAUCUGACGCCUGAGUAUUUAUUCCCCUUGCUAAAAAUACCUCCUGAUUGCACUACUGAUAAUUAAAUCAUCAUGCAUAUUGUUUUUUUCUCCCAAGCACCUUUGACAACAUGAUUUGGACAGAGACUGUGCUUUAUCACCUGAUGAAAAUUAAAGAUUUAUUCAAGUUUUCCCUUACAUACCUUGGGGACCAGAUGGCUAAAAACACAGUUUGCACGAAUGAAAGAGGCUGGAUAACCUACCAGGGUUCCUCUCCCAGUGGACGCUAACAACACCUACUUAGAUGUGCAACGUUGCUGGAAUAUUGGGAUAUCUAGGCUAUUCCAUACUGACGAACAAGAGUCUCAAGCUUCAGCCAUUACAG
This is a non-coding RNA of Arvicanthis niloticus (Nile rat), 1430 nucleotides long. Lineage: Eukaryota; Metazoa; Chordata; Mammalia; Rodentia; Muridae. The record is from RefSeq and is a predicted model, not a curated record.